UAAAUCUGCGAAUCAAGAAAGUCACUUAAAUCUGCAAUCUCUCUUUUGUCUGAUAGUUAAAAAAAAAAAAAAACCCGGUGAAUUUCCAUUGAAGGAAAAGAAGGAGCCUUAACGAACCGAUGCGUGGAAACUUCCAUAUAUCUUUAACACCUUCUACAGCAAGAACAACAUCGACGACAGCUUAUAAAACAAGACCCUCUCCUUGAGUGCUUACCAUUUGCAAGCAACCAUGGUUGGAACAGUGGCCACUUUAGAUGAUUUGUGCAAGGAACUACGCGAGG
Long non-coding RNA from Octopus bimaculoides (California two-spot octopus), 281 nucleotides. The record is from RefSeq and is a predicted model, not a curated record. Lineage: Eukaryota; Metazoa; Mollusca; Cephalopoda; Octopoda; Octopodidae.